AUUGAACGCUGGCGGAAUGCUUUACACAUGCAAGUCGAGCGGCAGCGCGGGGCAACCUGGCGGCGAGCGGCGAACGGGUGAGUAAUACAUCGGAACGUGCCCAGACGUGGGGGAUAACUACUCGAAAGAGUGGCUAAUACCGCAUACGAUCUGAGGAUGAAAGCGGGGGAUCGCAAGACCUCGCGCGUCUGGAGCGGCCGAUGGCAGAUUAGGUAGUUGGUGAGGUAAAGGCUUACCAAGCCUGCGAUCUGUAGCUGGUCUGAGAGGAUGAUCGGCCACACGGGGACUGAGACACGGCCCAGACUCCUACGGGAGGCAGCAGUGGGGAAUUUUGGACAAUGGGCGAAAGCCUGAUCCAGCCAUUCCGCGUGCAGGAUGAAGGCCCGCGGGUUGUAAACUGCUUUUGUACGGAACGAAAAAGCUCCGGCUAAUACCUGGAGUCCAUGACGGUACCGUAAGAAUAAGCACCGGCUAACUACGUGCCAGCCGCCGCAGUAA
This 498-nucleotide ribosomal RNA is filed under the name uncultured bacterium. RNAcentral's name for it is "partial 16S ribosomal RNA". It matches the Rfam family "Bacterial small subunit ribosomal RNA", at positions 29 to 523 of the family's 1533-position model. The record is from RNAcentral.